Molecule: unclassified non-coding RNA, 2729 nt
Filed under: Hevea brasiliensis (rubber tree)
Lineage: Eukaryota; Viridiplantae; Streptophyta; Magnoliopsida; Malpighiales; Euphorbiaceae
Source: RNAcentral
UCAUGCAGAAAUAAUUCAAUAAUUCGAUUUCAAUUUGAACCAAAAAAUACCCAUUCGUACCCGUGCACACAUUUCAAGGACAACAGACCAUUCCGAAUCCAAGCCAUAUUUUAGAAACAUUACAAUUUUAAAGAUAUUAUAAUAACAGUACGACUCUCGACAGGUUAACAUUCUGAUGGCAAGGAAAGUUGGAAGUACAUUAGGAGGUUAACAUUGUUAUUAGAGCUACUUAUUACUCUGUUAUAUAUACAAAACUGGGAGCUAAAUUUGGGUUGGGUUUUUCAAUCCGUGACUCCAACUGUUUCCGUUCCUCUCAGGUUGUCACUAAAUGAGGACCAGAGCGUGGAAGCACACAUGAAUAAGUAACAUACUUCACACUGUCUAAGAGCACAACUACAAAAAUCCGAGAAAUGGAUUUGGGUGUAAUCACGCCAUCAACCUCGCUGUCGCCAGCCUCUCUGGGAUCAACAAGCACAGAGACAACCAUGGGCGAGACAGAUUUAUUACCUUGGAAGUUGUCUUUUUGAGAAUUUCCAACACGUUCCCCAGUAAUAUUCAGGUCAGAACCUGGUAGGGGAAUUGGAAGACCUCGGAGAAUCCUUCUGUUUUUCCCCUUGUUGUGGUGUGUAGCAUUCUGCUGGUGCUUUGCCGUAAUAUUUGUAACUGGGGAAGCGGGAAUAAUAGCUCCUGGAGAUGGUGAGGCAUCAAACUGGAACACUUCCUUGCACAUGCCAGAACUUAACAUUGGCCCAGCAAGGCCUUCAUGGAACCACUGUUGGAGUUUACCAUCAGCUGCAGAUGACUUUUUAUCCUUUGGAGUAUCAGAAGAAGCAGAAGUAAGGGCCUUCUGUGGCUCUUUAGCAGUCGGAUAUAAGUGAGAAUGCCUCCCUCUAUUGGUUCCAACAUCAGGGAAGGCAAGGGCUGGAAAUAAGUCUAUUGGGAUUGCCAAACCCGUCUCCUUAUUUUUAUUUACUUCAGGAUCCUCAUGUGAGGCCAUAGCUGCCUCACUGGCCAGAACAGAAUGAAUUAUCAAGUUACCAUCAAUCUUGACAAGCUCAUCAUUCCUUGGCACAAACAAAGAUGCUGCAAGCGGCUUAUUACUAGCAUUAGCAAGUUGGGUAAAUUUGUCUGAGUCUGGUAGAUGCUCCAAGCCUCCUUUCAUCUCCACAUCAUACGCCAAACAUCCAUCACUGCCUCUCCCACACUGUAUUCUACUACCAACAUGAAAAUUUCCAUUAGAAAACUCAACACCGAUGCUCUCAUGAGACCUAUUUGAAUGCCCAUGAACUCCAAAGACCCUACCUCUCUGCUUAUCAUAAAACUUCUCACUAACAAAACCGAACCCAUUAGCACCAUUCUCCUUGACUCCUCCAAACUUAACAUUCACAAUUGGCACCAAUCCACCAAACAACAAAAUGAAAAAUAACAAACCCAAAAAGCUAACACUAGCAACCUUCUUAGUCUUAACUUCAGCUUUCUUAGCCUCUGCCUUUUUAGCUUUCACAGCUGACACAGGCUGCUGAGUCUUCAAUCUAGGGAUUGGAACCAAGUGCACCUGAGACCCUGGCGGCUUAACAACAUAAGGGGCACACGGCACCCACGAAUAUGGCAUGGGAGCCAUUGGUGGAUACAAAGGAGAAGGACACAAACCAUUGCCACUCAACUGCUGCUUCAAACUAGUAUUUUCAGCCAUAAAAAAUGAAAUUUUACUAUUUAAUUCCGCAAUGGUUAAAUGCAUAGUUCUCACCUUGUCUUCCAGCUCCUCCACGUAAUGCUUCUUUCUCUGCCUUGAAAGCUGCGCGCUCUCUCGAUUUCUCAUCAGCCUUGCCCUCCUUUUCUCCUCCUCUUCACUCAAUUCAACAAAAUUACCACACAGAGAAUUUGCCUUCAAAUAUGGGUCGGCAUUCUCUGACCUUAGGUACUUUAGAUUUCUUGUUUCGCCAUUAACAUCCUCGCUAGUGGUCUCUUUCUUUCUCUUUGGUAAGCCACCACUUUUGGCAUUUACUCCUUCGAGUUUGAUCUUCUGAUCAACCAAAAAUGCACCGGAAUCAGGAGAAGGAGCAUUCAUGGCUUCAGAUACACCCGCACCACCAUUUCCGGAGCCCUGAGAAGAUAUCGGCGAGGCAAAAUUCGACCCCCUAUCAGAAUUGCAGCUUAGAUCGGCCGAAUUACAACUUCUAGACUCCGAGAGCGAGCAAUUCAAAUACUUAGAAACAUCAGAACCAUGAUUGCCACAAAUUCCAGAGCUCCCCGACUCAAGCCAAUCAGAUUUCGCCUCAUGGACUGUGAAACCAUCAACAAAACCAUCGAUAGGACCCGAUUGAAGAGAAACGUCGUGGUUGGGGAUAGAGAAGUGCUCGUUCUCGGAGGGAAAGUAGAAGCUGUCGAGAUCGUGGAAGGUGAUGUCAAAAUCGUAACUAUCGUCAAGGGAAAAGGGUAAAUCGGAGACAAGGUUUUCCCCUCCAGACAUGGUGGUGGAUGAGGAAUUUUGCGCAGAGAGGAACAAGGGAUCGAGGGGAGGGAUUGGGAGGGAAUCGAAAUCAUCUAUGGAAUGAUUAGAAUCCGUUGGUGGCGGUGGAUGAACGGCGAGGAUAGUGUCGCCUACGCCCAUUGUAGAGGUGGUUACCGGUUAGGUUUUGAGAAGUGGAGGGUUUUGAAGAGGAAGACUUUAGGGGUCUUCCUUCCACACGGCUUCCUGUAAGAUUAUCAGAGAAUUUGUUGCAAUUUUG